AGCGAACGCUGGCGGUAGGCUUAACACAUGCAAGUCGAACGGCAGCACAGUAAUAGCUUGCUCUUACGGGUGGAGCGUGGCGGAAGGGUGAGGCAUAUACCGGAAUCUACCGUUACGUGGGGGAUAACGUAGGGAAACUUACGCUAAUACAGCAUAUGACCUACGGGUGAAAGCAGGGGAUCUUCGGACCUUGUGCGAUUGAAUGAGCCGAUGUCGGAUUAGCUAGGUUGCGGGGUAGAGGCCAAACACGGCGACGCUCGGUAGCUGGUCUGAGAGGAUGAUCAGCCACACUGGAAGUGAGACACGGUCCAGACUCCUACGGUAGGCAGCAGUGGGGAAUAUUGCGCGAGGGGCGCGAGCCUGAUCCAGCCAUACCGCGUGGAUGAAGAAGGCCUUCUGGUGGGAGAGCCCUUAUGUUGGUAAAGAAAAGCAGCAGGUUAAGACCCCGCUGUACUGACGGUACCCAAAGAAUAAGCACCGGCUAACUUCGUG
This 492-nucleotide ribosomal RNA is filed under the name uncultured bacterium. Its description in RNAcentral is "partial 16S ribosomal RNA". It matches the Rfam family "Bacterial small subunit ribosomal RNA", at positions 29 to 507 of the family's 1533-position model. The record is from RNAcentral.